RNAcentral lists this ribosomal RNA (499 nucleotides) under Exalbidion pallisterorum. RNAcentral's name for it is "partial 16S ribosomal RNA". The stretch from base 105 to 406 matches the Rfam family "Bacterial large subunit ribosomal RNA", at positions 2074 to 2646 of the family's 2925-position model. Lineage: Eukaryota; Metazoa; Arthropoda; Arachnida; Araneae; Theridiidae. The record is from RNAcentral.
CAUUGUUUUUUAAUUAAAACUAGAAUGAAAGGUUUAACGUUAAAAUUAUUUUAUUAUAAAUAUUAAUUUAAUUUUUAUUAAAUAUAAAAAUAUAUUUAUUAAAUAAAUAGACGACAAGACCCUAUUGAACUUUACUACUGUUUAACUGGGGAAGUUAAAUAAUAAUCAUUUUAUUUAUUUUUAUACUAAAAUUUUCUAAUCUAAUUAAAUUUAACAAGUUACCAUAGGGAUAACAGCGUAAUAUUAUUCUAAAGUUCUUAUUUAAAAUAAUGUUUGCGACCUCGAUGUUGAAUUAUUUUUCUAUAUAUAUAUAAUGCAAUAAUUAUAAAAGUAGGUCUGUUCGACCUUUAAUAUUUUACAUGAUUUGAGUUCAAACCGGUAUAAGCCAGGUUGGUUUCUAUCUUUUUUAUUAUUUUUCUAGUACGAAAGGACAAAAAAAUAUAUUAUUAAUAAUAUAUUAGCAAAUAAUUGCAUUAGAAUUAGAAUCUAAUUAUUCUAA